UAGAAAAACAGGACUUGAACCUG
This 23-nucleotide transfer RNA is filed under the name Chalcides ocellatus. RNAcentral's name for it is "partial tRNA-Gln". Lineage: Eukaryota; Metazoa; Chordata; Lepidosauria; Squamata; Scincidae. The record is from RNAcentral.